This 406-nucleotide ribosomal RNA is filed under the name uncultured bacterium. RNAcentral's name for it is "partial 16S ribosomal RNA". It matches the Rfam family "Bacterial small subunit ribosomal RNA", at positions 30 to 526 of the family's 1533-position model. The record is from RNAcentral.
AUUGAACGCUGGCGGCAGGCCUAACACAUGCAAGUCGAACGAGUGGCGGACGGGUGAGUAAUGUCUGGGAAACUGUCCGAUGGAGGGGGAUAACUACUGGAAACGGUAGCUAAUACCGCAUACCAUCGGAUGUGCCCAGAUGGGAUUGGCUAGGAGGUGGGGUAACGGCUCACCUAGGCGACGCUCCCUACCUGGUCUGAGAGGAUGACCUGCAACACUGGAACUGAGACACGGUCCAGACUCCUACGGGCGGUAGCAGUGGUGAAUAUUGCACAGUGGGCGCAAGCCUGAUGCGGCGAGGCCGCGUGUAUGAAGAAGGCCUUCGGGUUGUAAAGUACUGUCAGCGAGGAGGCGUUACUCGCAGAAGAAGCACCGGCUAACUCCGUGCCAGCAGCCGCGGUAAUAC